AGAGGCACUUGGGGCCAAGCGACCGCGUCGGCUCCUCGCGGCGGAGGAAGUGGAGCGGUUUGAUUAACAGCCGAGCCCUCGGCCUGACCAACGGGAGUUUGAUGUAGGCCGUUGCGAGGAGAGGUCUGCUUCAGCACAACCUCCAGCUUGUGACUUCGUGCGAAGAUUAAAAUUCAAAGGGUACCUCGUCUAAGCUACAGGCUGUCACCAGCAAGUUGUGCGUUUGCUGCCCUGCAGGCAGCGAGGGCUGCAGGGCACUGGGGGAUAAGUUUAGGACUUAGGAGGAAGCAUAAGAAUCUGUGGACCCCUCAGAAGUGAAUCCCCCCUUUGGAUUCCAGCGUUCAGCGUAGUGGAUCUUGUAUCUCGCCUGCGCAGAAGAUGCUGACUGUCUUCGCAGGCCCCUUCCUAUUGAAGUUUUGCUUGCAGCCAAAAGCCUGCUCGAUUUCCAUUUCUCCAAUCCAGUACCGGGUCAGACCUCUGUUGUCUCUGAGCCGUGUUACAGGCUCUGCCCUGUGUUCACUGUCUUACGCUGCCUGCAGCCUGGAGGACAGCUACGAAUUGAUGACCAUUCCUGUUGAAGCCCCUUUUCCCUGAAGAAAGAGAAAAGCAAACAGAAACCCUUCAAAGAAACCAGCAUUUUCAAAGAGACAGGACUUCUGUUUGUGCAGACGUGGAUGUCACUCCAUCUUCAUGUCUCACUCAGCACGGGUAAACCCAGACAGCCUGAGAAGAGCUCUUAAGGCGAUACUUAGGAAAAAUAGGCCGGAGCUGAAAACGUUAGGAUGAGAAACAGCAGAUCUGUAACACGUGGCUGGUUUGUUUGACAUAAACAGCGAGAUUAUUUACUGCUUACAAUUCUGGCCAGAGAACAGACCGGGAAUGUUUGGAAGCAAGUUUGCUGGCUAUCAGCUGCAGGGAAGCACCGGUUAAUGCCGUGCUGUGCCUGAAGACGAUGAGGACGAUGGAGGUUGAGAUGUCAGAGGCAUCCGAACAGCCUCUGUUUACUUCAGACAAAAUCGUCUCGGAGAAGCUGAGAGGCGGAGGGAGAAGCACCGGGAUCCGAGCGCAGAACUGGAUUCCAGGAACAUCUGAGCACUAAAUAUAGCAGCCGUGCUAACUCAGCGGCUUCGGGUGCAGCAGAUAACAUCCUGCUUCGGGACGGCUCACAGGAGUCAGGCCACUGCAAGGGGAGGUGUGAAAUUCAAUCCCUGUCAGGGCAUUGGCAAACAGUUCUUGGGAAUCCUGGGAUCCCUGUCUUUUCACUGUUUUGGUUUAUGCAUUUUUGAAAUGUUUGAGAGAAUAAUGAAAAUAUCAGGAAAAAUAAAACAGCGUAUUUUGGUAUCAUGGGCUAAACUCUUCCUUCAUCUG
Molecule: long non-coding RNA, 1368 nt
Organism: Cygnus atratus (black swan)
Lineage: Eukaryota; Metazoa; Chordata; Aves; Anseriformes; Anatidae
Exons: 4
Source: RefSeq, a predicted model, not a curated record